AGUCGAGCGGAUGAAGGGAGCUUGCUCCUGGAUUCAGCGGCGGACGGGUGAGUAAUGCCUAGGAAUCUGCCUGGUAGUGGGGGAUAACGUCCGGAAACGGGCGCUAAUACCGCAUACGUCCUGAGGGAGAAAGUGGGGGAUCUUCGGACCUCACGCUAUCAGAUGAGCCUAGGUCGGAUUAGCUAGUUGGUGGGGUAAAGGCCUACCAAGGCGACGAUCCGUAACUGGUCUGAGAGGAUGAUCAGUCACACUGGAACUGAGACACGGUCCAGACUCCUACGGGAGGCAGCAGUGGGGAAUAUUGGACAAUGGGCGAAAGCCUGAUCCAGCCAUGCCGCGUGUGUGAAGAAGGUCUUCGGAUUGUAAAGCACUUUAAGUUGGGAGGAAGGGCAGUAAGUUAAUACCUUGCUGUUUUGACGUUACCAACAGAAUAAGCACCGGCUAACUUCGUGCCAGCAGCCGCGGUAAUACGAAGGGUGCAAGCGUUAAUCGGAAUUACUGGGCGUAAAGCGCGCGUAGGUGGUUCAGCAAGUUGGAUGUGAAAUCCCCGGGCUCAACCUGGGAACUGCAUCCAAAACUACUGAGCUAGAGUACGGUAGAGGGUGGGUGGGAAUUUCCUGUGGUAGCGGUGAAAUGCGUAGAUAUAGGAAGGAACACCAGUGGCGAAGGCGACCACCUGGACUGAUACUGACACUGAGGUGCGAAAGCGUGGGGAGCAAACAGGAUUAGAUACCCUGGUAGUCCACGCCGUAAACGAUGUCGACUAGCCGUUGGGAUCCUUGAGAUCUUAGUGGCGCAGCUAACGCGAUAAGUCGACCGCCUGGGGGAGUACGGCCGCAAGGUUAAAACUCAAAUGAAUUGACGGGGGCCCGCACAAGCGGUGGAACAUGUGGUUUAAUUCGAAGCAACGCGAAGAACCUUACCUGGCCUUGACAUGCUGAGAACUUUCCAGAAAAUGGAUUGGUGCCUUC
RNAcentral lists this ribosomal RNA (971 nucleotides) under Pseudomonas aeruginosa. Its description in RNAcentral is "bacterial SSU rRNA". It matches the Rfam family "Bacterial small subunit ribosomal RNA", at positions 60 to 1021 of the family's 1533-position model. The record is from RNAcentral. Lineage: Bacteria; Pseudomonadati; Pseudomonadota; Gammaproteobacteria; Pseudomonadales; Pseudomonadaceae.